UUCAUUUUUCAUCACACAGUUGAGAUUCAAUUCUUAUGUUCACGUAGUUAAAUAUUUAGAUCGGAAGCUAUUUUGAGAUGAACGAAUUCAGUUGAUCAAGCAUUAGGAUUACCGUUUAACUAAUAAUUUAAAAGCCAAACAACAGCGUAAUUAAUCCACCAUCCGAUGAGAUAUACAUUUAUAUGACGCGGUUGUUCGGGUUUUUAAACUGAAUAGUGGCUAUAAUAAUACAGUGCAACAUAAUGUGAUGCAAAUGUGUGCCUACUUAUAAUACAGAACACGUGAUACGUUGAAGUUAACUACAAGAACAGCGAAGGCCUAUUUAUAUGGCCCUGGAUAUUCCUGAGCAAAGUCUCGGUGGAGGAGACGAGGGUGUCAGCAGUGGGAUCGACAGGGACAGACGUUGGCGUCACGGUGGGGGGCGGGUAGCUCACAGGAGCCGGUGACGUCGAUGCUGGAAUGUCGCGCUCUCCGUCGCUCAUGUCUCCCCCUGAUGAAAGGGGUGCGUCGCUGUCAUCGGAGUGCGAGCGAGGGGAGACAGCGGCUGUGGCUGUCGAAGGCAUCCUCGGUGGCUGCGGGGUGCGGCGU
Bombyx mandarina (wild silkworm) is the source of this 588-nucleotide long non-coding RNA. The record is from RefSeq and is a predicted model, not a curated record. Lineage: Eukaryota; Metazoa; Arthropoda; Insecta; Lepidoptera; Bombycidae.